This 220-nucleotide ribosomal RNA is filed under the name uncultured bacterium. RNAcentral describes it as "partial 16S ribosomal RNA". It matches the Rfam family "Bacterial small subunit ribosomal RNA", at positions 111 to 334 of the family's 1533-position model. The record is from RNAcentral.
UAAUGUAUGGGGAUCUGCCUGAUGGCGGGGGAUAACUACUGGAAACGGUAGCUAAUACCGCAUAAUGUCUGCGGACCAAAGCGGGGGACCUCCGGGCCUCGCGCCAUCAGAUGAACCCAUAUGGGAUUAGCUAGUAGGUGGGGUAAUGGCUCACCUAGGCGACGAUCCCUAGCUGGUCUGAGAGGAUGACCAGCCACACUGGAACUGAGACACGGUCCAG